RNAcentral lists this ribosomal RNA (559 nucleotides) under Macrophomina phaseolina. RNAcentral's name for it is "eukaryotic LSU rRNA". The stretch from base 188 to 341 matches the Rfam family "5.8S ribosomal RNA". Lineage: Eukaryota; Fungi; Ascomycota; Dothideomycetes; Botryosphaeriales; Botryosphaeriaceae. The record is from RNAcentral.
UGGUUUUGAAGUUGUUUCGGGGCUCGUCCGAUCCUCCCACCCUUUGUAUACCUACCUCUGUUGCUUUGGCGGGCCGCGGUCUUCCGCGGCCGCCCCCCGAUUUUGGGGGGUGGCUAGUGCCCGCCAGAGGACUAUCAAACUCCAGUCAGUAAACGUUGCAGUCUGAAAAAAAUAUUAAAUAAACUAAAACUUUCAACAACGGAUCUCUUGGUUCUGGCAUCGAUGAAGAACGCAGCGAAAUGCGAUAAGUAAUGUGAAUUGCAGAAUUCAGUGAAUCAUCGAAUCUUUGAACGCACAUUGCGCCCCUUGGUAUUCCGGGGGGCAUGCCUGUUCGAGCGUCAUUUCAACCCUCAAGCUCUGCUUGGUAUUGGGCACCGUCCUUUGCGGGCGCGCCUCAAAGACCUCGGCGGUGGCGUCUUGCCUCAAGCGUAGUAGAAUACACCUCGCUUCGGAGCGUAAGGCGUCGCCCGCCGGACGAACCUUCUGAACUUUUCUCAAGGUUGACCUCGGAUCAGGUAGGGAUACCCGCUGAACUUAAGCAUAUCAAUAAGCGGAGGAA